Molecule: long non-coding RNA, 904 nt
Organism: Amphibalanus amphitrite
Lineage: Eukaryota; Metazoa; Arthropoda; Thecostraca; Balanomorpha; Balanidae
Exons: 3
Source: RefSeq, a predicted model, not a curated record
UCUCCUGUGCGUCAUUUCCGCCGCACCGCCAAAACAUGAAAAAUGGGGGGGGAGAUCACGAAGCGAUCAAUUAUAAUUAAAUUAACUCAUCAGGUGAGACAGAAGUUGAAUUUCGUGUUUGAAAUCAGAUAGGACAAUCUCCUAUCAUUUAUGAAGAAACCAGGGUUAUUUUGAAAAUAUAUCACUCAGAAAAACAACAGGCCUACAAUUCUGGCCAGUUAUCAAUGGAUUAGAGAAAUGAGCUUAUCAAACAGCACGGAUCCACGAUGCUGGCGGUCUGGGCCAGUAGCCAUCUUCAGCUUCUGGCGAUGGAAGGGGCCUUCGGCUGAUGAAAGACAGCCCUGGCCCCUGCCAGCCGGCCCCGCCACUGGUGACGAGCGCUGGCGCGUCAGCGACCGCUCGAGCGACUCUGAUCAAGCCGUGCAAGUAAUGCUCUACCUGCUGAUCCACCACCGAGGGCUCCGCGCCGGCCGCAUCCGAAGGAGGAUGCGUCAUGUACUGUGCAGCCGAGGAGACCUACUGGCCACUCGUGAGGCCUACAAUCUGCAUGAUCAGUCAGCACCACCUGCGGGCGGUCGCCAUCGAGUACGUCCGAGGCGCUCUUUCUCCCAAGCCACUUGGGUAUGGACGGACGGUUCGGCUAACGCAGGAGUCCGCAGCGGAGGGGCCGGGGCCUUGGCCAGCUCUGCACCAGCUAGAGCGCGGAGAUGGUUGCGCUCCGCUCAGCCAUCAGCGCGACCACCUGUGGCACCUGAGCGCCCCGGUCGUCUUUUGCACAGGCUCCCAGGCGGCGCUGGCGACACUGAGGGAGGGCCCAGCCACACAGAAAACCUCGAUGGGCGCCGCCGUGUGGACGGGGCUGGCAGUCCUGUUCCGCCACUUCCACCUGCAAUUGGUGCCGUCC